Molecule: small RNA, 77 nt
Filed under: Polaribacter sp. KT25b
Lineage: Bacteria; Pseudomonadati; Bacteroidota; Flavobacteriia; Flavobacteriales; Flavobacteriaceae
Description: Flavo-1 RNA
Rfam family: Flavo-1 RNA
Source: Rfam by way of RNAcentral
AACAAGCUUGCGUUAGGGAUUGAAGUGGCAUCCUUUUUAUUUUUCAUAAAAAGAUAUAACGUAAAGCCUGUUAAAAC